This 200-nucleotide ribosomal RNA is filed under the name uncultured bacterium. Its description in RNAcentral is "partial 16S ribosomal RNA". It matches the Rfam family "Bacterial small subunit ribosomal RNA", at positions 524 to 723 of the family's 1533-position model. The record is from RNAcentral.
UACGUAGGGCGCAAGCGUUAUCCGGAAUUAUUGGGCGUAAAGAGCUUGUAGGCGGUUUGUCGCGUCUGCCGUGAAAUUUCGAGGCUCAACCUCGAACUUGCGGUGGGUACGGGCAGACUAGAGUGUGGUAGGGGAGACUGGAAUUCCUGGUGUAGCGGUGAAAUGCGCAGAUAUCGGGAGGAACACCAGUGGCGAAGGCG